UUGGAGGGCAAGUCUGGUGCCAGCAGCCGCGGUAAUUCCAGCUCCAAUAGCGUAUAUUAAAGUUGUUGCAGUUAAAAAGCUCGUAGUUGAAUUUCGGGAUCAAUGUUUCGGUCAUGCCGUUGGUAUGUACUGAUAUUAUUGAUUUCUCACCUUCUAAAGAACCGUAAUGCCAUUAAUUUGGUGUCACGGGGAAUUAGGACUGUUACCUUGAAAAAAUUAGAGUGUUUAAAGCAGGCUCACGCUUGAAUACAUUAGCAUGGAAUAAUGAAAUAGGACAUCCGAUUCUAUUUUGUUGGUUUCUGGGAUCGAUGUAAUGAUUAAUAGGGAUAGUUGGGGGCAUUAGUAUUCAAUUGUCAGAGGUGAAAUUCUUGGAUUUAUUGAAGACUAACUACUGCGAAAGCAUUUGCCAAGGAUGUUUUCAUUAAUCAAGAACGAAAGUUAGGGGAUCGAAGACGAUCAGAUACCGUCGUAGUCUUAACCAUAAACUAUGCCGACUAGGGAUCGGAUGAUGUUNAUUUUUUAAUGACUCAUUCGGCGCCUUACGGGAAAC
RNAcentral lists this ribosomal RNA (550 nucleotides) under uncultured Glomus. RNAcentral describes it as "SSU rRNA". It matches the Rfam family "Eukaryotic small subunit ribosomal RNA", at positions 548 to 1098 of the family's 1831-position model. The record is from RNAcentral. Lineage: Eukaryota; Fungi; Glomeromycota; Glomeromycetes; Glomerales; Glomeraceae.